This 8023-nucleotide long non-coding RNA is filed under the name Coffea arabica (coffee). Its description in RNAcentral is "long non-coding RNA (CARA_LNC005961)". The record is from RNAcentral. Lineage: Eukaryota; Viridiplantae; Streptophyta; Magnoliopsida; Gentianales; Rubiaceae.
AAGCUUCGGGAUUCAGGUUCUCCAGUUGAUUGCGUUGUCUAUGAUGCAGUUCUUCCGUGGGCUCUUGAUGUUGCCAAGAAGAAUGGAGUCUCUGGAGCUGCUUUCUUCACCCAAUCGUGCGCUGUAGACAACAUUUACUACCAUGUUUAUAAAGGGAUUGUAAAGGUUCCUGUUGAAGAGACUAGAAUCGCAAUUCCUGGAUUACCUGAUCUUGAGCCUGCUGAUUUGCCCUCCUUUGUUACCAAGCCUGAAACUUACCCAGCAGUUGUUGAAAUGAUUAGAAAUCAGUUCAUCGAUAUUGAUACAGCAGACUGGGUACUUUUCAACACGUUUUACAAGUUGGAAGAAGAGGUUUGCAAUAAUAUUUCCUAGCCCAUUUCUUUAACUGUUUCACUAUUUUCUAUAUCCUGAGUGUUCCUGACCAUCUUAUACUUUAGGUACGCAAGAAAAUCAAGAUUUAUGCAGCUUAUGCAGAAGGAUAAUGUAGUCUGUUAACUAAUUAACUUCACUGAUUCAUGUUCUAUAUAGGUCAUUGACUGGAUGAAGGGACUGUGGCCGGUGAGGCCAAUUGGACCAACAGUACCUUCCAUGUACUUAGACAAGAGGGUCCAAGACGACACGGAUUAUGGUCUCAACGUCUUCAAGCCAAUGGCUGAAGCUUGCACAAAAUGGUUGGAGGGAAAAGCAAGCAAAUCUGUAGUUUAUGUCUCGUUUGGAAGUCUAGCCUCACUUGAUGCUGAGGGAAUGGCAGAGUUGGCAUGGGGAUUAAAAAUGACAGGGAAAUAUUUCUUGUGGGUAGUAAGAGCUUCAGAGGAAUCAAAACUGCCAAAAGAUUUCAUUAACGAAACAUCAGAGAAAGGAUUGAUAGUUUCAUGGUGCCCGCAGCUGGAAGUUUUAGCAGACAAAUCUAUUGGUUGUUUUGUCACGCACUGUGGAUGGAACUCAACUUUGGAGGCACUAAGUUUGGGUGUUCCAAUGGUUGGAAUGCCACAAUGGACAGACCAACCCACCAAUGCUAAGUAUGUGACGGAUGUUUGGAAAAUGGGAGUCAAAGCUGAACCAGAUGAGAAGGGGAUAGUGACAAAAGAAGAGAUAGAGAACUGCAUUAGACAAGUCAUGGAGGGAGAGAGAGGAGAGGAGAUUACUAGAAAUGCCAAGAAAUGGGUGGAAUUGACAAGAGAUGCAGUUGAUGAGGGUGGGACGUCUGACAAAAACAUUGACGAAUUUGUGUCCAAAUUGGUUUCCCCUUAAAUUAUUUUGGCGUAACUUGUGACACGGUACUAGACCCUUUGCUUUAUGUGUUUCUUCUUUUUGUUUUUGUCAAUUUUUUUUUAUGUGUUUCCGAAUGAUCCAAGUUGGAUGCUUCUUUUGUGAUCUAGAUUUUGUAAAAUUCAUAUCCUUACUUAUGGGGUGAUAAAGAGGAACCAACCCAAUAACAGUGGGUUUUAUUGUGGCAUGAAAUUAAGGGAAGGAUUGAGUUUUUCUCAACUUUAAUGAUUAUUGUUAACUAUGAAAUGCAAUUCCCAAACAUAACAGAUAAUUAUUGUUGUCUUGGAAUUGGUAUUCAAGUGUAUUGUUGUUAUACUAGCGUAUAUAUUUAUUGAGCCAAUGCUUAUAUUAUGGGUAGUAUUGUUGUGAGAGCACAUUAUAUGGGUGCCAGAGCAACUUUGCUCACCAAGAUAAAAAUGUUACUUCUAGUCAAAGCUUUCUUUACUAACAAUUUAUUGUGGGGUCUACAUCUCCUAUCUUGUCUCCAAGGAAAUUAUAUUGACGAGUUUCUAACCUAUAUUCUAGAUUUUAACCAAAUUCACUCAUUUACUACAAGUAUACAGGUCGUGCCUUGUUGUAUUAGGGACUUAGGAUCAAUGUCAAGAGCAUCACUUCCAACUACAAAGGCUUUUAGCUCAUUGUAUUAUCUAAACUAAUCAAGAAUUUUAACAAAAUAAAAUAACCACAAUGCUAAAACAAUGCAAAAAAAAAAAAAAAUUAACAACUUGAAGAAAUUAAACUAAAAACAAAUGUCUUAGCGUAUAGAAUCCAUUAAAUGUACCUAACUAUGGAUGAAAUAUGAAUUAUCACUAAUGCACUUGUCUUGCUAAUGAUGCAUUUUACUCGAACCAUUGGAACUCACUCUCGCCAAUGAACAGAAUCUAACCAAUACUAUAGUUUCCUUCCUUUCGUAGUGAAAUCACAAGUAAAGAUUUAAUCUAAAUCGAGAAAUGCCAAAAACAUCCAUCUAAGUGUACUACUACUUUCAUGUGCCUACUCCUUAAGUUCCACCUAUUCCAUUUUCGUCAUUGUCAACUAUUUUCAUAAAUUAACAACUAUCAUGGCUUGCAAAUGGUGAUCAAACAUUCACAAGUGUUGAAGCAAAAAUAGAUGAACUAGCAAGUACAACAUAUAGCAAUAAUCAAUUUUAUUCAACCAUAAUCAAUGUACGAAUAGUUGCAUCUAUCCCUAGAACAAGAAGAUUUAGGUAGAUAUAGAGAAUUAAGAAUAAAUCUCAAAUCUUCAAUGUAACUAAGUAUUAAUGAAACAAUAAAGAAAGUAAAGAGGUACCAAGACUUGUGCCUUUAAAAAGUAAAUAUUACAAUAAAAAAUUCAACUAUAUUUUCUCUCAUGCUCUAGGGUUACCUCUUGCUCUUUAGGCUUUCGUGCAUGGAAGCCCUUCAGCCUAGGGCUGAGGGGCAGCCUCCUUCACCAGCAAAGAAGUCGUUCUCGUUACUGUUUUCGAAUUCUGUCCCUUCUUCGAUUGAGAUCAAGACUCCAACUAGGGUUCGCCAACUCGGCCGAGUCAUAACCGGAACGGCAGGUGCCGUUCCGAUACCGAUACCCGAAACGCCGAUUACACCAUAUCCGAUUUGAGUCGCUUCGAAUCAGCCGAUAUCCUCCGAAUUAGCACCGGGUAGCAAGAUAACAGCCAAAUUCUCGGAUUCGACUACGAAUAUGUACUGGUAAACAAGUUUAAAUAGCAACUGGGAAGCCAAAACCAAACAAAAAAGGAACCGACACCAAAGGACACAAAAGGCAUCACACCAUAGCUAGCUACGGCUGUUGCAGAGCCUUUUACGAAACCAAACAAAACUACAAUUACCAAAGGUGGUCCACAUGGUUGUUGCAGUCUUUUCCCAUGCUUUAUUGUUUCAUUUUUCAGCCACAAAGACAAGCUUUAGGGAAAAGUGGGGAUAAAGAGAACCAUACCAGCAAUUCCUCCGUAAUCCAUCACUAGUUUUUGAGCUUCACUCUAGAAUAAAGGUGACGGCCGGUUGGAGAAACAAGCCGAUCGGUUCUUCAAUUUCUUCAUCGUCCAGCUGCGGCUCAUAUCUGUUGACGGCCGGCUCACAUCUGUCAUCGUCCGGCUCACAUUUGUUGACGGCCGGCUGCGGCUCACAUCUGUUGACGGCUCAUAUCUGUUGAUGGCCGCUCAAAUUUCCAUUGGAGUAUUUUGUUCAAUGAGCCGGCUCUUCAAUUAUAGAAAGGGAAAGCAAAAGAAAGAGUAAAGGUGACGGAGGUGAAAAAGUGAGAAACGGAAAUUGGGAAAAAAAUGAAGGGAAGAGUCAGAGGAAGAUAUGACUAAAACAGAAGGGAAAACUCCAGUGAGGUGCGGCUGCACUAAACAGAAGAUGGGCUUUUGUACCGAAGCCAACCAUUGGGGAAAAAAUUGAAGGAAAAAUUAGAAGCACGUAAAGUCCAGCUUUGGCCCAAGUAAUUAAGAGAUUAGGCUCCUAAUCUUAAACCCAAGCAUCAGUCAAAAGGUCCGCAUCUUCUUUCAAAAUAACUUAUCAAUUUUAAUUUUUUUAAUUUAGCAUUCAGAUAUGAUAUUUAGGUAUUUGUAAAUUUAAGUAAUGCAUUUUGACAUUUUUUACAUAUUAUUAAGUAUAUGAUUAAUUUGUAUUAGUAGUCUCUUAUCUAAAUUUUAGUUAGAAAAUAUGUAGUGAUUAUUUGGAUACAUUUUAAUGAUCAUAAAUGUAAUUUAUUUAUUUUCAUGUAUCUCAAUUAUGUUGGUUAAAAUGAUUUUAGGUAAAUUAAUUAGAAAAAGUAAAAUAAAAAAAAAGAGUUUGUUGCAGUUAGUUAAACAAAAAAUUGAAUUGGGCAAAUUGUCAAAGUAUAAAUUACCUGGCAUAAUUAAACUUGAUUAGAAAAACAUUAAUAUAUUUAGAUAAUAACAAAUUUUAUUAUUAUCGAAAUAAUGCAAAUUACCUUGCAUAAUUAAACUUGAUUAGAAAAAAUUUAAUAUAUUUAGAUAAUAAAAAAUAAUUUUAUUAUUAUCUAAAUAAUGCAUAUUACCUUGCAUAAUUAAACUUGAUUAGAAAAAAUUUAAUAUAUUUAGAUAAUAAAAAAAUUUAUUAUUAUCUAAAUAAUGCAUAUUGAUUUGCAUAAUUAAACUUGAUUAGAAAAAAUUUAAUAUACUUAGAUAAUUUUCAAAUAAUUUUAUUAUUAUCUAAAUAAUGCAUCAUACCGUGCAUAAUUAAACUUGACUAGAAAAAAAUUAAUAUAUUUAGAUAAUAUAAAAUAAUUUUAUUAUUAUCUAAAAAUGCAUAUUACCUUGCAUAAUUAAACUUGAUUAGAAAAAAUUUAAUAUAUGUAAAUAAUAAAAUUUUUUAUUAUUAUCUAAAAAUGCAUAUUACCUUGCAUAAUUAAACUUGAUUAGAAAAAAUUUAAUAUAUUUAGAUAAUAAAAAAUAAUUUUAUUAGUAUCUAAAUAAUGCAUAUUGAUAUGUUUAACAUCACAUCUACAAUUAUUUAAUUAAUGUAGGGACAGUAUAAAAUGGCUCCAAAUCAAGACUGUCGCGCCCCAUUUUUCGCGAUGGAAAAGAAAGUGUUUAUAAAAAGAUGUGAUUUAUUAAUAAUAAAUGAAAAAGGACCUAGAAUGGACUUAAAAAAUGCGACAAUUUGGGUCCGAAAUUUAGUCUAAAAAGGGUUUUUAAGAAAAAGUAGGAGUCGCCACUUGGUAUUGAAUUUUGGUGUACCAAGUCACCCAAAAAAUAUUUUUUGACAAAAAAAAAAGAUAAAUCAAAACCCUUUUUGACAACUCCAGGUCUUUGAAAACAAGAGAAAAUGGAUUCGGGAGUCACGGUUGAAGAAAGGGAAGGCAAAGGUUCGAUUAACUCAAACCUAAGGCACCCUUUCAACCUAGUCUAAACUAGUUGCGAGGUUUAGUCAAAAUUUUCCUAAUCUAACCCUUAAUUUUAUCUUAUUUGGAUGUUUCCUACAUGAAUGCAAAUCUAAAUUUAAAAAUAUCGAAAGGGACAAAAUGUUCAUUCAAGGGUUUAAUUGAACCAAUCACAUUAAUUGCGAAGGCCAAAAUGAUUCGUUGAAAGUGUCACGAGUAUGCAAAUGAUGAAAAGGAAAAGAAUGUUAAAUAAUAUAUAUAUAUAUAUAUAUAUAUAUAUAUAUAUAUAUAUAUAUAUAUAUAUAUAUAUAUAAGUGACCAAAGAAUAGGAAUGCAACAUAAUGGGUACGGGAUACAAAAACUCGUGAUAAAAUUUUCUUAUACAAGGAUUAAUGGGGUAUUUAAAUUAAAAAGUUAUAAUCACCCAUAUCCAUGUUUAGAGAAUAAUUCUCCUAAUAUGAACAAGCAAAUGAACUAAUUUAAAUGAGAUGCAAUUCAAAAUGACAUGAUUAGCACCUAUAGAGGGUACGGGAUAAUAUAAUAAGGAAUAUCAUACAAAUGAGAAAAGAUCCUAAACAUGAAAAUAUGCAUGAAAAUGUAGUGAAUAGCACACAAAGAUGAAUCUAGCGCAAGACAACCUAAAGGGUCUAGCGUUGGACUAACCCAUUUCUAAAAAUCCUUACUAGUGUUGGACUAGCAAGAAAGCGAAGGGAGAAACCACAACUAGCGUUGGACUAGUGAUGACGUCAUGCAUUAACAAUUCAUAGUGAAACAAAUAAGGCAUAAAUUAAAACAAAUAAACACAUAAGAGCACGCAGCACAUAACACGUAAACAUAACAUCUAGAUGCCAAAAUCCUAAGAAAAGCGGAUAAAUAUAUAGCACGUAAGCCACAUAAACACACAACCUAUCUAUUACAUCAGGGAGCCCAACUAUAAUCUAAAAGGGGAAAAUAUAAUGAAACAAAUAUAAUUAUCCUAUCUAUUACAUUUUUGAGGUAUCUAAAUGCCUCUCGAAUAAUUAUAAAAAUUAACUAAACAAUAUAACAUAAGAAAAUUUAAAUGAACAUUUAAAUUCAAUAAAUAAAGCAUAUAAAAAUAUACAAACACAUAGGAACACAUAGGAGCACAUAAGAGCACGUAAUUGACAUUGAAAUAAUAAAAAUAGGAGUACCUCCCAUUUGAAGUGGUGACUAAAUGGAGUCAAAUUGUUCUAUUUAUACUCACAAUGAAUGAAAGAAUCAUGGCACCAAUUUAAAAAAAUAAUAAUAAAAGUACUAAAUACACACUAAUAUGUCAAACAUAAAGAAUUUUAAAACAUCUAAAAAUUAUAAGUUGAAUAUGUUCAAAAGUAACAUAAUUAGUUAUUAAAGAAAAGGAACAAUCAUAAUAAAGAGAGCCAAAAUUUACUAAGGACUGAAUUGCAAAGAUUGAAAAACUUCUGGGGACAAAAAUUAUAUUUUUCCAAAGUUCAGGGGUCAAAAUUAAAUGAAAGAUAAAAUUUAAGGACCUAAGUGAAAUUAAUUUAAGGACCUAAGUGAAAGGAAUUUAAAAUGUUCUGGGCCACAAUAAAACUACUCCAAAGAUCAGGGGGCUAAAGUGCAAAUUUGCUAGCAGGUCUUCUUAAGAAAACAGGCCACUGGGCCAUUCUCUAUUUUUUCGGGCCAAAGGCCAUCCGGCCCAAACGAAAGUUCAAGCCAAAAUACACAGGCCAGCCCGUCAUCUAUCACUCAGAUCCAACCAAAAUAAAGGCAUGGGCUCUGACCUUCUAGCCCAACCUAAACCCAAAAGAAAUAAAUCAAAACCCAACCAAAACCCAAUCAAAACUAACUCUUGGCCCAACCGAAGAUAAAACAUUAGCCCAAACCACUUUUUUUCUUUUCUUUCCUUCUUUUCUUUCUUUUCUUUUCUUUUCUUUCUUCUUCCUCACCGUUUCUUUAUCUCCUUUCUUCGGCCAGCUGAAGCUCCUCGCCACCGCCAACCAUAGCUGAUAUGGUGGCUGCCCGCGCCGCCACCACUGGUCGCCGGCGAAUUUUUGCCGAUCACAAAAAAUUAUCAAAAUACACACCCCAACUCGAUUUUUCGCGUAGAAUCCAAUUCCGGAGUUAGUUUUUACAAAAAAAUGAGCCGAAAGUGGUCAAAAUGCCAAGAAAUCAGUUCAGUUUUUAUUUUUUAAAAACCCUCAAAUCUUCACCAAAAAUCAUAAAAAUUAUGCCAAAACCCUCCUUGCAACUUCUAAAUUACAACUAUGAUUUUAAUUUGACAAGAAAACAACAUAAAAAGGCUAGAAUAAAGCAAAACAGACCCCUAAAAUUCUUUUUUUUUUCAUUUUGGCAUUUUCACAAGCACUUGACAUGCAUUCAUGGGCCCGUUUCUUUUCCUUAAUUCUGUGCAUGACUUGUCCCAAAAACUCAGCAACCCAACAACCAAGGAAACCAGCAAAAGCAAAAGAAAAUUAAACAAUGAAGCAUGGAUUUAAUGUGCUAAACAAAACUAAAAAAAUUACCUCAAUGUAGGUGGCAAUCCCUUGGUUGAAGUUUUGAUGAAAUUUCCAAGCCUUGACCGAUAGCUGCCUUUUCCCUUUUUUGUGUUUGGAUUUUGUGGAAGAAAAUGUGUAGAUGGAGCCCUUUUUUUCUUUUGUUCCUCUUGUCUUCUUUCUUCUGCCCAAGUCCGAGAGAGGGAUAGAGUGAGGUGAGGAGCUUUUCUCUUUUUUUUUUUUUCUUUUUUCUUUUUUUCGGUUGAGACCAAAGAAAGAGCCAAGAGCCUUCCUUUUUUUUUUGUGUGUUUUUCCCCUCCUGUUUCAAGAGAGAGCCGAGAGAGUCAGGAGUGCCCUUUUUUUUUUGUUCCUCUUGUCUGAUGAGGGAGAGAGCCGAGAGAUGAAAUUGAGCCAAAAAGGUGGAGUGUCUUUUUUCU